RNAcentral lists this ribosomal RNA (312 nucleotides) under uncultured Pseudomonas sp. RNAcentral describes it as "bacterial SSU rRNA". It matches the Rfam family "Bacterial small subunit ribosomal RNA", at positions 1072 to 1382 of the family's 1533-position model. The record is from RNAcentral. Lineage: Bacteria; Pseudomonadati; Pseudomonadota; Gammaproteobacteria; Pseudomonadales; Pseudomonadaceae.
UGUUCGGGUUAAGUCCCGUAACGAGCGCAACCCUUGUCCUUAGUUACCAGCACGUUAUGUGGGCACUCUAAGGAGACUGCCGGUGGACAAACCGGAGGAAGGUGGGGAGUGACGUCAAGUCAUCAUGGCCCUUACGGCCUGGGCUACACGCGUGCUACAAUGGUCGGUACAAAGGGUUGCCAAGCCGCGAGGUGGAGCUAAUCCCAUAAAACCGAUCGUAGUCCGGAUCGCAGUCUGCAACUCGACUGCGUGAAGUCGGAAUCGCUAGUAAUCGUGAAUCAGAAUGUCACGGUGAAUACGUUCCCGGGCCUU